CCCCUCUCAGGGUCACAUUGGGAGAGUUUCCAGUACUCUACCAGUCUUUACUAUAGGAGGGAGAGUCGGGCAGUGACAUAUCCAUUCCAUUCCUAGCUUGGCCAGUGGCUAGUGAGUGGAAGGCAAUCUGUUACAGUU
Tachyglossus aculeatus (Australian echidna) is the source of this 138-nucleotide small nucleolar RNA. The record is from RefSeq and is a predicted model, not a curated record. Lineage: Eukaryota; Metazoa; Chordata; Mammalia; Monotremata; Tachyglossidae.